This 254-nucleotide ribosomal RNA is filed under the name uncultured prokaryote. RNAcentral describes it as "partial 16S ribosomal RNA". It matches the Rfam family "Bacterial small subunit ribosomal RNA", at positions 525 to 777 of the family's 1533-position model. The record is from RNAcentral.
ACGGGGGGAGCAAGCGUUGUUCGGAUUUACUGGGCGUAAAGGGCGCGUAGGCGGCCUCCGCAAGUCAGUUGUGAAAUCUCCGAGCUUAACUCGGAAAGGUCAACUGAUACUGCGGGGCUAGAGUGCGGAAGGGGCAACUGGAAUUCUUGGUGUAGCGGUGAAAUGCGUAGAUAUCAAGAGGAACACCAGAGGCGAAGGCGGCCUACAGGGCUGCACCUGACGCUGAACCGCGAAAGCUAGGGGAGCGAACGGGA